Long non-coding RNA from Papaver somniferum (opium poppy), 1414 nucleotides. RefSeq lists it as uncharacterized. Lineage: Eukaryota; Viridiplantae; Streptophyta; Magnoliopsida; Ranunculales; Papaveraceae. The transcript has 5 exons. The record is from RefSeq and is a predicted model, not a curated record.
AAUACAGGGUUAGUGCGAUUUGGAGUCUGCCAAGGGUUUGAGGAGUGAAGCAAGAUGCAGAACGAGUUUCUUCUCAUUAAUGUGUAGUUACCGGGCUAUUCAACUAGACUGCCGCCUCCAAACUUUUCUCUGCCUGCAAUCAAUUUCUUAAAAACAACAAAACCAAUCACGGAUUAUAUCAAGACGAUGAUGAUAAUGAUUUCAUCAUCUCUGGGAUGCAUACGGAAGUUUCCAUCAAUUCUUUUCAUUGGCAGAUCGCAAGCAAUGGGACAGGCCUAUUUGGAUUAUUAGUGUUGGAGCAGUUUGAGGCGCAUAAUGCUUUGGAUAAAACUGGUGGGACUGCAUAUGCAAUGGGUCUUUAGGUCUAGCCUCUUAAGUUGUUAUUUGAAGGUCUCUUGAUCUUUUCAGUUCACAUCUUGGUAUUGAUGCCAAUGCUUUCUGGUGUGGUUUUCCAAUGCUCAAUUUUAAGCCUAUUGCUUCGUUGUUUAUGCCCAUGAAAAUAUGAAUUAUUCUUCCUUCUGUUACAACUGAAGAUCAAACAACUGCACUUCUUAAAGCUGGUGAAGGUUGUGAGUUUCUUAGAUUGGGAGUUGCGGGCAUCUUUGAUCCUAAGGGUACCGUAUUUGGAGUUGGAGAAGAAACCUGGCAGUGCAUACAAAAUUAUGUUGAAAUUUAUGAAUUUCAUUCAGAUUUGGUCGACAUGGGGUUAUGGAGGUAGUAUCUACACUCAUAUACGUAUACGUUUGCUUGGCAUUCAUAUAUUUGACAUAUAACCUGUUGUUUUCAAGUAGAGUAUCAUCCAUGCCGUGCUCAUUUUUCACAGAAUAAGCCAAACCAAUCUCUUUGGACGCCAACUUCAUCGGCAUUCCAUCUUCAGCCUUAAUGAUUCCAGCUGCCUGUUCCUCGUAAGAAUGUUUUGUUACUGUUUCAACGAUGAAGAGCUAGAAAUAUGAUAGAAAAGACUGCUCAUAACCUACAAGUAACCUGUCCUUCUGUUCCAAUCAGAUCUUCUUGAUAUCGCCAGUGAUCAUUUAGAGCCAUAUCAAGUUCAUUCUUGUUGUAGUUCUAAAGGCCGUUGCCAUGCUUUUCGUAGAAAUGCACAAAGGAUUGGAAUUGUGUUGCUGAGUUACUUGCAAUGCAGGUGAUGAAGGCUACAAUUGAAGGCUAGCUUUGGUCCAAUUCUAUUUAAUUAUAAAUUCAAUAGGGGGGGAUGCGACCUGUAGCUAGAUUAGUUAGUAUGUAUAUGUGUAGCCUUUGCUACCUGAAACCAUUUGGCACAUGUAUUUACAAUACCUAUGUGGAAAAUAUUCUAAUAAUUUUUUUUUUUCAAUAGUUUUUAUUAGUGUCAUUUUUUAGAUGAACAUUUUGUUGUUUUUGAAUCCAGCAUCUACUUCAAAACUGUUAUGAGAAGUUA